UAUAUAGUACGGCUAGGAUGCUUAUGGAAGCACGGAGGGCUCCGUGCUUUCACUUUGUUUUCGAUGUUCGGACUUUCGAAUCGAUGAUCGGCUCCAUUAGACUUGAUCUAGAGUAUUUGAAGCAUCUAGAAAAUAAAUUUUGUGAUUUUUUGAUAUCAUUUGUCUAGUGAUCGAAGUGGCUCAAAAUCAACGGCUGAAAAUACAAAUCUUACAAAAUAUAAUGAUAUGACAUUAAAAUUUUAGACCAAAGUUAUUGAUCUUGUUUUAUAUGGUAUAAAGAAUUUUCUAUCAAAAUUUCAUAUGAUUUGGAUAUUUCUACACCGUUAAACUUGCAACCGGCUUACCACGGCAAUUAAAAUUAUUGAUUUUGAGCCCCUUCGAUCACUAGGCAAUGAUAUCGAAAAAUCAUAAAAUUUAUUUUCUAGGUACUUCAAAUACUCUAGAUCAACUCUAACGGAGCCGAUGGUCGAUUCGGAAGUCCAAACAUUGAAAACAAAGUAGAAG
RNAcentral lists this long non-coding RNA (504 nucleotides) under Ananas comosus (pineapple). RNAcentral describes it as "long non-coding RNA (ACOM_LNC038617)". Lineage: Eukaryota; Viridiplantae; Streptophyta; Magnoliopsida; Poales; Bromeliaceae. The record is from RNAcentral.